Molecule: ribosomal RNA, 485 nt
Filed under: uncultured bacterium
Lineage: Bacteria
Description: partial 16S ribosomal RNA
Rfam family: Bacterial small subunit ribosomal RNA
Source: RNAcentral
AUUGAACGCUGGCGGCAGGCUUAACACAUGCAAGUCGAGCGGGGGAAGGUAGCUUGCUACCGGACCUAGCGGCGGACGGGUGAGUAAUGCUUAGGAAUCUGCCUAUUAGUGGGGGACAACAUCUCGAAGGGGAUGCUAAUACCGCAUACGUCCUACGGGAGAAAGCAGGGGAUCUUCGGACCUUGCGCUAAUAGAUGAGCCUAAGUCGGAUUAGCUAGUUGGUGGGGUAAAGGCCUACCAAGGCGACGAUCUGUAGCGGGUCUGAGAGGAUGAUCCGCCACACUGGGACUGAGACACGGCCCAGACUCCUACGGGAGGCAGCAGUGGGGAAUAUUGGACAAUGGGGGGAACCCUGAUCCAGCCAUGCCGCGUGUGUGAAGAAGGCCUUAUGGUUGUAAAGCACUUUAAGCGAGGAGGAGGCUACUUUAGUUAAUACCUAGAGAUAGUGGACGUUACUCGCAGAAUAAGCACCGGCUAACUCUGUG